GACGAACGCUGGCGGCGUGCCUAAUACAUGCAAGUUGAGCGCUCAAGGUUGGUACUUGUUCCUACUGGAUUAGCAGCGAACGGGUGAGUAACGCGUGGGUAAUCUGCCUUUGAGAGUGGGACAACAUCUGGAAACGAAUGCUAAUACCGCAUAAAAACUUUAAACACAAGUUUUAAGAUUGAAAGAUGCAAUUGCAUUACUCUAAGAUGAUCCCCGGUUCGAUUUGCCAAGUUGGUAGGUUAAGGCUCUACCAGGAGAAGAAACCUAACCGGACUGGGAGGGUGGACGGCCAAAAUUGGACUGAGAACACGGCCAAACCCCUACGGGAGGCAGCAGUAAGGGAUCUUCGGGAAUGGACGAAAGUCUGACCGAGGAACGCCGCGUGGGUGAAGGAGGUUUUCGGAUCGUAAAAACUUGUUGGUAGAGAAGAACGUUAGUGAGAGUGGAAAGCUCACCACGUGACGGUACCUACCCAGAAAGCGACGGCUAACUACGUG
RNAcentral lists this ribosomal RNA (497 nucleotides) under uncultured bacterium. Its description in RNAcentral is "partial 16S ribosomal RNA". It matches the Rfam family "Bacterial small subunit ribosomal RNA", at positions 28 to 507 of the family's 1533-position model. The record is from RNAcentral.